AGCGUCCUCCCUGGAGAGGUCUGC
This 24-nucleotide non-coding RNA is filed under the name Arabidopsis thaliana (thale cress). The record is from RNAcentral. Lineage: Eukaryota; Viridiplantae; Streptophyta; Magnoliopsida; Brassicales; Brassicaceae.